This 1598-nucleotide long non-coding RNA is filed under the name Coturnix japonica (Japanese quail). RNAcentral describes it as "lncRNA (ENSCJPG00005020771.1)". Lineage: Eukaryota; Metazoa; Chordata; Aves; Galliformes; Phasianidae. The record is from RNAcentral.
UUACUUCAAAUAGAUUAUUUUUUGUUAUUAGUAUCUGUCCCCUAAACAAUUUGACUCUUUCUUUUGUAGCAAUGAACACGAGCAUCCCAAUUGCAGACCAGAUUGCUUCUAGAGAAGUCACUGGAGAGAAAACCAUGGACUGGUGAGCAGCUUUGACCCAAGGCUUUCCCAUGUCACAUCACAAUUUUCUGAGUUUGCCUGGAGUAACAAGACACUGGAUGGUAAAGGAAAUGAAUCCUUCAUAUGUUGUCUGAGCCCAGCAGGGAAACAGAAAUGCUUUCCAAAAAGAGAAAAGAAAGAAAAAUCGUUUUGUGUUUGCAGUCUGCUUGUGUGUUGCUUGGAGAAAAUCAGCACAUCUGAAAAGGCAGCAUCUGGUAAGGAAAGCAUGGAUGCAGCAGGUGAGGCCAAUGUUAACCAAGGUGACAGAAUCUGCUGCUCAACAAGAGAAGUGUUUGGGGCAGAGAACCAGCCAAGUCACUGCUGUUUUCUGUUUUCCUUUUUUAGUCCAGUGGCACCUUGGAAUGGGAUUAUUAUAGGAAGCUUUCAUUACUUUACUGUUGCUGUCUUUUCAACAGCUGCAAGUGUUUCCUGCUGCUGACUGGGCUUCACUGGUUGAGAACUGGUUGCCCAGCAAGAUAAAUAGUAUCAAUGGGAGACAAGAACUGGUUUACAGCUCAUUUCUUAAUUACCUGUGAGGAUUAGCAAAAGAUUUUAUGUUUCAUUAUCUAUUUUGAACUCAGCUGUAGAACACUGCAGCCAAAGAUGACAGAGUAGAACAUUGCACUUGACUUAACUAACUCAGCUGCAGGAAACUUAGGUUCAGCUUGAGCAAGCAGUAGAUUAUAAGUUACACUGAUAUUGGUCUAUGUUCAUUAGUCUAAGUUGAAAGCCAGGGUUUAUUGGCACAACUAUUUUUCUUGCGUCUAAGCAAGUAAUUCCGUACAUCAUUCAGUAAUGCACAGCAGAUCACUGAAAAAACUGAUUACCCAGGUGGUGCUGGAAAGAUGUUUUCUGUUUAAUAUCUUUGAAAUUCUAAGCAAGAAAUCCAUGCUGAGCAAUUUACAGUAAAGGCAGGGGGGAAAAAUAUGUUUUCUUUUAGCUAUCCUUCUUUUUUUCUGAAAUCAUAGAAUCAUAGAAUGAUUUGGGUUGGAAGGGACCUUUAAGAAACCUAGUUCCAACAACCUGCUAUAGACAGGGACACCUCCAUCUAGACCAGGGUGCUCACAGCUACAUCCAGCCUGACCUUGAGUGCUUCCAGGGAGGGGGCAUCCACAGCCUCACUGAGCAACUUGUUCCAGUGCGUCACCACCCUCACAGUAAAGAAUUUCUUCCUAAUAUCUAGUCUAAAUCUACACUCAUCCAAUGUAAGAUGAUUUCCUGUUGUCCUGCUUACCUGUCACAGCUUGACUUUUAUCAAAACUCCUGGCGCUUCAGAAGCCUUCAAUAGAUUUGCCACCAAGGAAACAAACAUACGUGCAUUACAUAACUUGGCAUCACAAUGCAGAAAGCCCAGCUGUCAUGUUUCCUAUGUUCUGUUCAUAUCUCAUGAAUUGUUUCCUAAACUGACCUUAAUAAUGUAUUUUAGCUUAAUCAGCACA